This is a long non-coding RNA of Haliotis rubra (blacklip abalone), 180 nucleotides long. RefSeq lists it as uncharacterized. NCBI's taxonomy places the organism in Eukaryota, Metazoa, Mollusca, Gastropoda, Lepetellida, Haliotidae. The record is from RefSeq and is a predicted model, not a curated record. The transcript has 3 exons.
AUUAAGAAAAGGAUUCACAUCAUCAAUAGUGGUGUUCCGAUGAUCGAAAGUAAUCGAAACUCGAUCGAAAGAAGGAUUAAAAAUGAUUAUCGAUUGUAAAAAACACAUUUUUGAUUAAUCAGAACUUGUUGUUUUAUUUUAACACACUUGAAUGAAUGAGUGAGUGAGUAAAGAUUUAAA